Molecule: small RNA, 884 nt
Filed under: Histoplasma capsulatum
Lineage: Eukaryota; Fungi; Ascomycota; Eurotiomycetes; Onygenales; Ajellomycetaceae
Also listed under: 1 other name
Description: hypothetical RNA
Source: RNAcentral
ACGAAGGAAUGUUAUUUUGAUCAUGGUAUUUAUCUGUAUUGUGUAUUAUAUUAUUUUUUCUUUGCUUCGUUUGAAGGAGCAAAUAUCGAUUCAAGACAGGCUAAUCCCAUCCUGAUGCCCUAUGCUGCUAUUUCCGCCUAACUAUUGCUAGCUAAAUGGGAACCUGUACGCACCGUACAGAGUCUUCUUGAUGUUUAUGUGCGCUGAAUGUGUAAAAAAGCAUAUUAAAAAUUUCGACCGUUGCCCAAUGUGUGAUGCAAUGCUAUGCAAUAAUGCAACCCAGUCAAGGAGGGAAAAAAAAAUAAAACCCCAGCAAGCUCGUUGCUUUCGAAUGUGAUCCCAGCAGGAGACCAUUAGGAGAAAUCGAAAAAAGUACUUCCCAUCAUUCAGCCAUCUGCAGAGUCCAGAACGAUGAUCUCAUAGUCGCUCGGGAGCUAAAAGUGGGGAAGAAGAGGAGGUGAAGAAGUGAAAAUAAAAAAUGAAAAAAGUCGAUUUCACCAGCACAGCUGCGAUCGAUGAACAGAGUAGCGAAAAACAAAUCAAAAACAAAUCGAUACCAAAUUGGUUCGGGGGGGGUAUAAUGCAUAACAGAAAAGGACAAAAUGAAUAAAAAUGAGGCGCCGAACAAGAUAUGGACAAGAAAAAUAAUAGGGUUCCCCCAACACUACGCUCCGCUGUGCUUGGUACAUCAGAGAGGGCAAAAGAGAUCAAAGGCCGAAUGCCGAAGGUAACACCACGCGCAAAAUAAAAAUUCAGGCAGAGAGGUGAGGGGGAAGUCAAGGCGUGGGGGAAGGAUAGGCAGAGAGUGAACAGUGCUGCUGCUGCUGCUGUUUGUUGUUGUUGCUGCUGAUGAUGAUUCAAGACGUGAACAGCAACAACAGGCA